Parus major (Great Tit) is the source of this 1855-nucleotide long non-coding RNA. The record is from Ensembl. Lineage: Eukaryota; Metazoa; Chordata; Aves; Passeriformes; Paridae.
GUCCUGUCGGAAAAGCUCGUUUACUCUGCUCGGGUCUCCAGUGGUUUAAGGAUAAUGUUUAUCAGAAGUGAACGUGCUCAACUUGUUUCCAUUCAACUGCUGAGUGUGGGCUGAAAUACCAAAGGUCAGAUCUACAGUGAGUCGGUAGAGGGCAGGGGGAGACGAGAGGAAUAUGAAAACAUAAUAUACAACAGCCUGUUGAUCGCUUCUGACCUGCCUGGCAAAAAGAUUAAUUUUUUCAGGAACCAAUUGGGAAUUCCUAGGCAAUUUUCUCCGUUUCUGCCUUUGCUUCUGCAACACCUAGUACCACUGCCACCUACAGGAAUAAUUGCAUUUUCAAGCUAUUUUCAAGUAACCAGAAGCGUUUGAGAGUCCUGGUAGCUCUGUCGUCUUCCUGGACGCGCAGCAGCAAGUCUGACUUCGAAAGGCAUUGUUUUUCUCCGUGGCUUUCGUUUGAGAUCACACACUGAUGCAGGUUCGCUCCUCUGUGGCACGGCAGUGGGAGGGACGGAGCCUUUCCCCAGGGACCCCGGGAGACGCAGCCAGCAAAGGUCAUAUUUGUCUGCCUGCAAGGAUGCAAACCUGAAAACCUUCCCUCGGAUCCAUGGGGCAACAGUCCCUUCAAGUUGAUCACAGUGAAUGGAAAGAACAAGUCCUCUCAGACAAACUAGUGUGUUAAAUCCACCAAGCCAGGCAGAUGUGUCAGACAUGGCUGGAGGCAGGUCUAAGCUGCAUUUCACUGGGUUUGAAGUCACAGGCAGAUCAUCUGUGAUGGACUCAGUCCUAGAGGGCAAAGGGAUUUACAGCAAGGAUCUAUUCCACUAUAAAAGGACACCAAGAAGAGCUUUGCUUUGAAAUCCUAAUCUAUGCUGCAAGUUCAAGUUUGCUCAGCUUCCACUGGCUUCAAUGAAUGUCAUCUGUACUCACACAGCUGUAAAAUGUUAUUUAUACCUACAAGUCUAGUGGGGUCAGAGCUCCACAGAAAUGGUGUAAGAGAAGAAGCCAGAGUUGCCUUCCUGUAAGUGGAGGAUUGUCCACAAGACAAGUCAGGUCCAUAGCAACAGAACUUUGAUUUUGCAAAUCACGUUUCAUCUAGAUAGAAACUGUAUUUAUUUUGAAAGAAAUAUUUAUUCUCCUGUUUAAUACCAUCUGACCUUUUAAAAGUGACUUUCAGUUUUAUAUGAUAAAACAAAAUAAUUUUCUUUCUAAUUUCUGUUUUGAAAAGUUUGGCUUGUUUCUGUUGUUUUGGUGUUUUGUUUUGUUUUGUUUUGUUUUAAAUAUGGACACAUAUAAAUUUAUUUAGCAUUUUGUGGAACGUUAUUGAUAAAAGAGACUGCAAGGAAGAAAUUAUUGAUGGAGAGGACUCUGUAUAAGCAGGAUAUCACUGCUUUUCGUAGAUCCUAGAAAUCAUAGCAGUUUUACCAAAAGCCAAGUGAAUUUCCUCAUUGGAACAUGUGAUCAGCUUGGAAAAAGUGUGGUUUUGUGCAAUCUGUUUCCUGCCCAGCUACAACUUUGCCUUUGGCUAGACUAGCACCACAAGUCAUAAUCAAUUAAAGUUCUUAUUUUUCCUUUCAGAACCAAGCAGUCAAGCUUUUUUUGUGAAAGUCUUAAUGGUGAGAAUAUGUGUAAGUGUGAAUGUUUUCCUAUGUCACUCAUAUUAAUGAAGGCUUGCAGGUGUAUUUGUAACACAUUUUCUGAAGUAACUUGCACAAAAUAUUUUUUCUUUUCCUUCUCUUUAUGGAGACAGGCCCCCUCCAACAUCUGCAUGUAAAAUCAAAUUUUCUGGCAAACUUGACAUUCCAUACCACCAAUCAGACCAUGAACUUGUACCAAGUUUAAUCUCUUCUCUGGAAAA